This 351-nucleotide long non-coding RNA is filed under the name Mytilus galloprovincialis (Mediterranean mussel). Lineage: Eukaryota; Metazoa; Mollusca; Bivalvia; Mytilida; Mytilidae. The record is from RNAcentral.
CGGGUGUAAAUUGUAGGAUUGAUUGCUUUGAUUAUUGGUUGGUUAACGUCCAGUGGAAAAUAUUUCAUGCAUGUUCAGGACGAGAACAAGUUAACAAUAAAUACAAUACAUGUAGGUAGGUUUUGCAAUAGAGGCAGGGCAUCCGCGAUGAUGGUCGGGAAAAUUUUAACUGACGCUAUACACAUUAUUUAUGUAUGUGCCUGUCCCAAGUCAGGAUCCUGUAAUUCAGUGGUUGUCGUUUGUUUAUGUGUUACAUAUUUGUUUUUUCGUUUUUUUUAAUAAGGCCGUUAGUUUUUCUCGUUUGAAUUGUUUUACAUUGUCUUAUCGGGUCCUUUUAUAGCUGACUAUGCG